UAAUAUCUCUUCUAUUGAAUAAUAACAUAAUGUUGCAAAGAUCACAACUCUCCUCAGUGACAAAAAUACCUACGAAGCCUUAAAGUGAGACCCCACAAGCAGCUACAAAAAGAAAGUUAUAGCUUGCCUUCAGGACCUUGAAAAGGACAAAAUCACUGACCGCCUUACAUAUCACCGCCUGUACCCAGGGGAUGCCAUACCCUGCAUUUACGGACUUCCUAAGGUCCACAAAGAAGGUGUCCCACUCAGACUCAUUGUCAGUAGCAUAAACUCAGCCACUUACAACAUUUCAAAACACCUUUCUACCAUCCUAGCACCUCUCGUGGGGAACACCCCACAUCACAUCAAGAACUCCACCGACUUCACCGACAAGGUCCAGAAACUUACCCUGGAUCCAGAUGAAACCAUGGUGUCCUUUGGUGUAGUCUCUCUCUUCACUUGCAUACCCACCACGGAGGCAGUGGAGACUGUCAGAAAACGACUACAAGAAGACAGCUCCUUGGAAGACAGGACCAACUUCAUCCCCGAUCAGAUUUGCACACUGUUAGACCUCUGCCUUACCACUACAUAUUUCAAAUACAACGAGGGUUUCUACAGACAAAAACAUGGCUGUGCCAUGGGCUCCCCCGUGUCACCUAUUGUAGCCAACCUUUACAUGGAGGAAGUGGAAAGAAAGGCUCUUGGCUCUUUUAAAGGGAGAGUACCCAGCCACUGGUACAGAUAUGUAGACGACACCUGGGUCAAAAUCAAGACACAAGAAGUGGAAUCCUUCACUGCGCACAUUAAUGCCGUGGAUAAAAACAUCAAGUUCACCAGGGAAGACACAAAGGACAACUGUUUGCCUUUCCUGGACUGCGCUGUGCACAUUGAAGAGAACGGCAACCUCAACAUUGAAGUUUACCGGAAGCCCACACACACGGACCAGUACCUCCUCUUUGACACCCAUCACCCUCUGGAACACAAACUUGGGGUUAUCAGGACCCUACACCACCAGGCAGAACAUGUUCCCUCUAAGCCUGAAGGGAAAAAGAAGGAACACACACAUGUAAAGGAAGCACUUAAAACAUGCGGUUAUCCUAACUGGGCGUUCAUAAAGUCAGCAAAGAGGCACAGAAAAGAAGAUCAGACACCAGCGAGGGAGGAUAAGAAAGACAGACGCAACAACGUUGUCAUCCCCUAUGUAGCCGGUGUAUCAGAGAAACUCAGGAGAGUUUUCUCCAAGCACGACAUCCCAGUGUACUUCAGACCCAGCAACACACUCAGACACAAACUGGUUCACCCGAAAGACAAAACUCCAAAACACAAACUUAACAAUGUGGUGUAUGCUGUACAGUGCAGCGAGGAAUGCCCAGACCUCUACAUUGGAGAGACCAAACAGCCACUUCACAAGCGCAUGGCACAACAUAGAAGAGCCACCUCCACGGGACAAGACUCAGCAGUCCAUCUGCAUCUAAAGGACAAAGGUCACUCUUUCGAGGAUACCAAAAUUCACAUUUUGGACGGAGAGGACAGAUGGUUUGAAAGAGGAGUGAAAGAAACCAUCUAUGUCCACUGUGAGCGACCAUCUUUGAACAGAGGCGGUGGUUUACGACACCAACUGUCUGCCAUCUGUAAUCCAGUUUUGAGAUCCCUUCCAGACGCCUUAACGCCCACUCACACCCUGGGCCAUCUGACCUCAGGAAAUCACAUGAUAGGGUGGGGCCAGGUUUCACAAUGAGCUCACCCGAAACCCUGGCUGAUUGUGACCCACACCUUGGCUCAUGUGAUUAGGUAGAGGAUCAUCAGAGGUCCUUUUGUCCCUCUUUGGGGGGGAUACUCCCAUGGGGUUUAAAUCUGGGACUCUCCACCAUUUGACCCUAGAACUGAAGAAGCAGUUGAGCUGGU
Molecule: long non-coding RNA, 1884 nt
Filed under: Oreochromis niloticus (Nile tilapia)
Lineage: Eukaryota; Metazoa; Chordata; Actinopteri; Cichliformes; Cichlidae
Description: lncRNA (ENSONIG00000038989.1)
Source: RNAcentral